This 71-nucleotide transfer RNA is filed under the name Flavipsychrobacter sp. RNAcentral describes it as "tRNA-Cys". It matches the Rfam family "tRNA". Rfam says of the family: Transfer RNA (tRNA) molecules are approximately 80 nucleotides in length. Their secondary structure includes four short double-helical elements and three loops (D, anti-codon, and T loops). Further hydrogen bonds mediate the characteristic L-shaped molecular structure. tRNAs have two regions of fundamental functional importance: the anti-codon, which is responsible for specific mRNA codon recognition, and the 3' end, to which the tRNAs corresponding amino acid is attached (by aminoacyl-tRNA synthetases). tRNAs cope with the degeneracy of the genetic code in two manners: having more than one tRNA (with a specific anti-codon) for a particular amino acid; and 'wobble' base-pairing, i.e. permitting non-standard base-pairing at the 3rd anti-codon position. The record is from RNAcentral. Lineage: Bacteria; Pseudomonadati; Bacteroidota; Chitinophagia; Chitinophagales; Chitinophagaceae.
AUACCCAUGGCCGAGUGGUUAGGUGCCAGACUGCAAAUCUGGUUACAACAGUUCGAAUCUGUUUGGGUAUU